This 551-nucleotide ribosomal RNA is filed under the name Bifidobacterium longum subsp. suillum. RNAcentral's name for it is "bacterial SSU rRNA". It matches the Rfam family "Bacterial small subunit ribosomal RNA", at positions 146 to 712 of the family's 1533-position model. Lineage: Bacteria; Bacillati; Actinomycetota; Actinomycetes; Bifidobacteriales; Bifidobacteriaceae. The record is from RNAcentral.
UCUCCUGGAAACGGGUGGUAAUGCCGGAUGCUCCAGUUGAUCGCAUGGUCUUCUGGGAAAGCUUUCGCGGUAUGGGAUGGGGUCGCGUCCUAUCAGCUUGACGGCGGGGUAACGGCCCACCGUGGCUUCGACGGGUAGCCGGCCUGAGAGGGCGACCGGCCACAUUGGGACUGAGAUACGGCCCAGACUCCUACGGGAGGCAGCAGUGGGGAAUAUUGCACAAUGGGCGCAAGCCUGAUGCAGCGACGCCGCGUGAGGGAUGGAGGCCUUCGGGUUGUAAACCUCUUUUAUCGGGGAGCAAGCGAGAGUGAGUUUACCCGUUGAAUAAGCACCGGCUAACUACGUGCCAGCAGCCGCGGUAAUACGUAGGGUGCAAGCGUUAUCCGGAAUUAUUGGGCGUAAAGGGCUCGUAGGCGGUUCGUCGCGUCCGGUGUGAAAGUCCAUCGCUUAACGGUGGAUCCGCGCCGGGUACGGGCGGGCUUGAGUGCGGUAGGGGAGACUGGAAUUCCCGGUGUAACGGUGGAAUGUGUAGAUAUCGGGAAGAACACCAC